GUGGGGAAUAUUGGACAAUGGGCGAAAGCCUGAUCCAGCCAUGCCGCGUGUGUGAAGAAGGUCUUCGGAUUGUAAAGCACUUUAAGUUGGGAGGAAGGGCAGUAAGCUAAUACCUUGCUGUUUUGACGUUACCGACAGAAUAAGCACCGGCUAACUUCGUGCCAGCAGCCGCGGUAAUACGAAGGGUGCAAGCGUUAAUCGGAAUUACUGGGCGUAAAGCGCGCGUAGGUGGUUUUGUAAGUUGGAGGUGAAAUCCCCGGGCUCAACCUGGGAACUGCCUCCAAAACUGCAUGACUAGAGUACGGUAGAGGAUAGUGGAAUUUCCUGUGUAGCGGUGCAAUGCGUAGAUAUAGGAAGGAACACCAGUGGCGAAGGCGACUACCUGGACUGAUACUGACACUGAGGUGCGAAAGCGUGGGGAGCAAACAGGAUUAGAAACCCGGGUAGUCC
RNAcentral lists this ribosomal RNA (450 nucleotides) under uncultured bacterium. RNAcentral's name for it is "partial 16S ribosomal RNA". It matches the Rfam family "Bacterial small subunit ribosomal RNA", at positions 354 to 796 of the family's 1533-position model. The record is from RNAcentral.